ACCUCUAUUGGCUGUUUAGUCAUUUUCUUAUUAUGACAGGCUUUUAGAAACUUUUAUUCUGUGAUGCUUUCGUCAGUAGAGGUGUUUCCUCUUAGCCAGUUCUAGCCACAAUAUUGACUGGGCCCAGGCAUUUGCUACACUCAGAAGGAAUUAACCAGGCAGGAGAAAACUUGGUCCCUACUGGAAUGAAUAGUUUAAAGGCCAUCUUAGAUGCUGAAAACUCUGAGCACAAAUGAAAGCGACCCAAGAAGGAAAAACUUCAGAGCCUAAGAAUAAAAAAUGGUGGUAGGGUUGGGGGAUAAACUCGCCCAGAGCUGACUUAAAGUGCUGUCAGGGAAGGAAGUGCCUUUCCUGGGGAGGAUGAGAUGGUCCAUGCCGGGUCUGGAGCUGUGGGCGUUCUGAUGUUGGAUAGCCCACCCUAGCAGGCUGCAGUGUCUUAAGGGUAGUGGCAUGAGAUCUUUGGAAGUAUCGAUACAUUUCCUAACAGUGAGUUUGAGUUUGUUCUGGUAUGUUCUGAAUGGAUAUGUGGCUCAAAGAUUAACUUAGCUAAAAAUAAGUAUAUUAGAUAUUAGGGAAAUAUUGUUAAUAAAGGUCUUCUGUCCCUGUUGGAUAACUUUAGAAAAUAAUGUAGACAACUGAACGUAGUGGAGAUGAUGGCAUGAAUACAGUCAGGGUUUGAUGCUUGCUUCCUAGAAACUUCCUAGAAAUAGAACACAUCUAGACAUAGGGAAAUAAGGUUCCAAAGAAAACCUUACACUUUUAUUCAGAUUUUAUGUUGGCCUCAGUUGUACUAGAAAAGCGUUUCAGUAUGUGUCUCUUGGGGAAUCUGCACCUUCUUGGUCACUGCACUUCAUAGCCCGGCAUAUCACUGAGAAUUCAGAAAUCUGACUCUUUACCCAGGGACGAAUACAUCGUUAUGAGUUCAGGUGCACUAAAUACAUAGGAACACCCAGAGAAAAUGAGCCCGAAACAAUGGUUCUUUUUAUUUUGGAAGUUUCAGACAAACUCUUUGGAAAAUUGAAGAAAUCUAUGGAUCCUUUUCCUGGGAAGACUGUACAGACAUACGUAUUCGUGUGGUUUCUGUGGGUGUAGGGACUGGCCCUGGUCAUGUGUCAGGAAGCCCCAAUCCAGAAGAUCGUCUUCAUUUUACCUUGGCCGGUGAUCUGACUCUGUUCUCGCGCCCAUCUGUGGUUGAUUCUCUGUCGCCUUGGAAUGGAGCAUCAGAUCUUGAAGGUCGCUCAUUGCUUUUCCACGCAUAGAACUGAGCCACAUGGCAAGAGCUUCCUAAUGAAAUGGACGGAAACUCUCUGCAAAGGGCUGCCCCAGAAGCACGGGUGAUAGAAAUAGAGUCCAAGGCACUAAGGCCGCUGAGCCACAGUCCUCCUAGGCAAUGCCUCCUGCUGGCUUAGUGGGUUUAUUUCAUAAGUUGAGUACUAAUGUCCUGUUUUUUAAAUGAACAUAUUUCUUCUAACAUUUCUAACAAUUAUGAAGAUUUUCUCCCUAAGUGUGACUUUUUCUUAUGUCUUGGGGUAUCAGAUUUACAGCGUAACAUGUGUACUUCAAAUUGUAGUAGUGACUGGAAAUUUAGGAUUCUGUUGUUUCAUAACACUUAAAUCUGCAGCAGAUUUUCAGGAAAAUGGUCAAGAUUCACAGAUAAUUCCUUCCUUAUUCCUUACAGAUUUUACAAUUGUAUGGUUAUUUCUGAAUUUGGUUAAUUUGUUUAUAAGUGUAGUGGACAUUUAACAGAACAGAUGCACCCGAUUAUCUGAUUAGAAAUGUGUUUCAACACACGGGUCCCUUUGCGUGUUUCCAAUCUCUGUUUUCGGAUCUGGGAUUCUCCACCUGUUACAUCGUUCACUGGAACUUUCCUACAAAAUACAGCCUCGCUGAGAGGCGCAUCGUGGAAAAAUGAAGCAGCCUGAAGAAACUCUAAUAUUGGGACCGAGUGGAGAGAUGGAAGAGCAUCAUCAGAGUGGUGCCGCCGCACAUGCGGGAGGCGUCCCAGGCAGCAUUGCUCUUUGUACAUGAGACAGGAUACCACUGUCUUUUAUGCAUUAGACUGGUAACCAGAUAAAAUAACCUUGUAAAACAGAUCUUUUAUGUAAGAAAAAUACAACUCUCACCUCGCAAACAUUCCUGUCUGUUGCGGAUGAACCUAGCAGCAGGAGAGGAGCCAGGGUCAGUCCACUUGGCCUGAAAGUUAACGUCAUAUAUUCAGAUGUCAAGGGGUUUCUGUGCAUGCUUUUGAAGUAUUGUGUUUGGGCUUUUACAACAUGUGCCUCACUGUUUCGCAUCUACAGAGAGAGUGCCGCUGAGAGAGGAGCCUGAGUGGAUCCGUGCCCAGAUCUGCAUUCUCUGUCCUCACCACUUCUCCCUGCUGGUUGAUAUAAAUGUGGGGAUAACGUCGAGCACAAAGGAGUCAAAAAUUGAUCAGGGCUGGGUGUGGUGGCUCACGCCUAAAAUCCUAGCACUCUGGGAGGCCGAGGCAGGAGGACUGCCCAAGGCCAGGAGUUAACAUAGCAGGACCCUGUCUCUACAAAAAAUAAAAAAAAUCAGCUGGGCAUGGUGGUGUGCACUUGUAGUCUCAGCUGUUUGAGAGGCUGAGGCAGGAGGAUCUCUUGAGCCCAGGAGUUUGAGCAUGCAGUGAGCUGUGAUCGUGCCACUGCACUUCAUCCCAGGCGAUGGAGUGAGACCCCAUCUCUUAUUUAA
This 2709-nucleotide long non-coding RNA is filed under the name Homo sapiens (human). RNAcentral's name for it is "non-protein coding lnc-PINX1-84:1". Lineage: Eukaryota; Metazoa; Chordata; Mammalia; Primates; Hominidae. The record is from RNAcentral.